AAUAAAUUUUUUAUGGUUUAAAAAUUUUAUUUUAAGUUUAUUUUACAUGUAAAUUUUAGUGUUAUAUAUUAAUUAUUUAAAUAAUAUUUAAUUUUAUUGCAGUAAUUAGUUUUAAAAAUUUAAGAAAUUAAGAUUUAGUAAUAUUUAAAUUAAUAACUAAUUUUGUGCCAGCAGUUGCGGUUAUACAAAAAUUAAUUUAAAAUUUUUUAGUAAUUAAUAAUUAAUUAAAUUAAUAAUUUAAAUAGGUAAUUAUUAGGUAAAAUUUUAAUUAAAAAAAAAUUAUUUUAUAGUUAUGAUUUAAUAAAUUUUAAAAAAAACUAGGAUUAGAUACCCUAUUAUUAAAAAAUAAAUUUAAAAUACUAAAAUAGUAGAUAAUUUAUUGAAACUUAAAUAAUUUGGCGGUAUUUUAGUUUAUUUAGAGGAAUCUGUUUAAUAAUUGAUAAUCCACGAAUAAAUUUACUUAAUUUAAAAUUUUGUAUAUCGUUGUUAAAAAAAUAUUUUUUAAUAAUAAUAAUAUUUAAAAAUUUAAAUGUAAAAUUAAAUCAGAUCAAGAUGCAGAUUAUAAUUAAGAAUAUAAUGGAUUACAAUAAAUUUAUUUAAAUUGGAUUUUAAUAUGAAAAGAUUAAAUGAAAUUGGAUUUAAAUGUAAUUUUAUAAAAUUUUAAAAAAUGAUUAAUAAUUAAAAUAUGUACAUAUUGCCCGUCGCUUUCAUUUAUAAAUUGAAAUAAGUCGUAACAAAGUAGAGGUACUGGAAAGUGUUUCUAGAAAGAU
RNAcentral lists this non-coding RNA (770 nucleotides) under Theretra clotho. Lineage: Eukaryota; Metazoa; Arthropoda; Insecta; Lepidoptera; Sphingidae. The record is from RNAcentral.